GACGAACGCUGGCGGCGUGCUUAACACAUGCAAGUCGAACGGAAAGGCCUCUUUCGGGGGGUACUCGAGUGGCGAACGGGUGAGUAACACGUGAGUAACCUGCCCUUGACUUUGGGAUAACUUCAGGAAACUGGGGCUAAUACCGGAUAGGAGCUCCUGCUGCAUGGUGGGGGUUGGAAAGUUUUGGCGGUUGGGGAUGGACUCGCGGCUUAUCAGCUUGUUGGUGGGGUAGUGGCUUACCAAGGCUUUGACGGGUAGCCGGCCUGAGAGGGUGACCGGCCACAUUGGGACUGAGAUACGGCCCAGACUCCUACGGGAGGCAGCAGUGGGGAAUAUUGCACAAUGGGUGGAAGCCUGAUGCAGCAACGCCGUGUGCGGGAUGACGGCCUUCGGGUUGUAAACCGCUUUCGCUCAUGACGAAGCUUUGUGUGACGGUAGUGGGUAAAGAAGCACCGGCUAACUACGUG
This 467-nucleotide ribosomal RNA is filed under the name uncultured bacterium. RNAcentral's name for it is "partial 16S ribosomal RNA". It matches the Rfam family "Bacterial small subunit ribosomal RNA", at positions 28 to 507 of the family's 1533-position model. The record is from RNAcentral.